This 253-nucleotide ribosomal RNA is filed under the name uncultured bacterium. Its description in RNAcentral is "partial 16S ribosomal RNA". It matches the Rfam family "Bacterial small subunit ribosomal RNA", at positions 524 to 776 of the family's 1533-position model. The record is from RNAcentral.
UACGUAGGGGGCAAGCGUUGUCCGGAAUCAUUGGGCGUAAAGCGCGCGUAGGCGGCCAGACAAGUCCGGUGUGAAAGUCACAGGCUCAACCUGUGAAUGCCGCUGGAAACUGUCUGGCUAGAGUCCGGAAGGGGCGAGUGGAAUUCCUGGUGUAGCGGUGAAAUGCGCAGAUAUCGGGAGGAACACCUAUGGCGAAGGCAGCUCGCUGGGACGUUACUGACGCUGAGACGCGAAAGCGUGGGGAGCAAACAGG